AGUGGAGUUGCUGUUCAAAAGGGAAGUUGCUAGAAAGAUACCAGUUGAAGGAAUAAGAGAAAGGAACUAAAUCCUUGGUUCACAAGGAUAACUGCAGAAUGUGCUGAGAACGCAACAUCGCGCGAGAAAGGGGAGCUGGCCAGAAAAGCCCAGGCUCUGUUUUAGUCCUCUCCUGAAAACAGGCUGUCUGUCAACACUUCAGUACAGUGGGUCAGGUUACCCUAGAUCAUGUUGGCUGAAGCAAAUAAUUGUAACAGCACUCAAGAAAUGAAUGAAUACCACAGGGAAGAGCUUCAACCACCACUGCCCCUGACAACCU
This 319-nucleotide long non-coding RNA is filed under the name Homo sapiens (human). Its description in RNAcentral is "HSALNT0127637". The record is from RNAcentral. Lineage: Eukaryota; Metazoa; Chordata; Mammalia; Primates; Hominidae.